Molecule: ribosomal RNA, 468 nt
Filed under: uncultured bacterium
Lineage: Bacteria
Description: partial 16S ribosomal RNA
Rfam family: Bacterial small subunit ribosomal RNA
Source: RNAcentral
GACGAACGCUGGCGGCGUGCUUAACACAUGCAAGUCGAACGGAAAGGCCCUGCUUUUGUGGGGUGCUCGAGUGGCGAAAGGGUGAGUAACACGUGAGUAACCUGCCCUUGACUUUGGGAUAACUUCAGGAAACUGGGGCUAAUACCGGAUAGGAGCUCCUGCUGCAUGGUGGGGGUUGGAAAGUUUCGGCGGUUGGGGAUGGAUGCGCGGGUUAUCAGCUUGCUGGUGGGGUAGUGGCUUACCAAGGCUUUGACGGGUAGCCGGCCUGAGCGGGUGACCGGCCACAUUGGGACUGAGAGACGGACCAGACGCCUACGGGAGGCAGCAGUGGGGAAUAUUACACAAUGGGCGGAAGCCUGAUGCAGCAACGCCGCGUGCGGGAUGACGGCCUUCGGGUUGUAAACCGCUGUCGCCUGUGACGAAGCGGGAGUGACGGUAAUGAGUAAAGAAGCAACGGCUAACUACGUG